GACGAACGCUGGCGGCGUGCCUAAUACAUGCAAGUAGAACGCUGAAGCGAGGAGCUUGCUCUUCUUGGAUGAGUUGCGAACGGGUGAGUAACGCGUAGGUAACCUGCCUUGUAGCGGGGGAUAACUAUUGGAAACGAUAGCUAAUACCGCAUAACAAUGUCUGACACAUGUCAUUUAUGUGAAAGGGGCAAUUGCUGCACUACAAGAUGGACCUGCGUUGUAUUAGGUAGUAGGUGAGGUAACGGCUCACCUAGGCGACGAUACAUAGCCGACCUGGGGAGGUGAUCGGGCACAAGGGGAAUGAGACACGGCCCAGACUCCUACGGGAGGCAGGAGUAGGGAAUCUUCGGCAAUGGGGGCAACGCUGAACGAGCAACGCCGCGUGAGUGAAGAAGGGUUUCGGAUCGUAAAGCUCUGUUGUAAGUCAAGAACGAGUGUGAGAGUGGAAAGUUCACACUGUGACGGUAGCUUACCAGAAAGGGACGGCUAACUACGUG
This 497-nucleotide ribosomal RNA is filed under the name uncultured bacterium. RNAcentral describes it as "partial 16S ribosomal RNA". It matches the Rfam family "Bacterial small subunit ribosomal RNA", at positions 28 to 507 of the family's 1533-position model. The record is from RNAcentral.